This 495-nucleotide ribosomal RNA is filed under the name uncultured bacterium. RNAcentral describes it as "partial 16S ribosomal RNA". It matches the Rfam family "Bacterial small subunit ribosomal RNA", at positions 28 to 507 of the family's 1533-position model. The record is from RNAcentral.
GAUGAACGCUGGCGGCGUGCCUAAUACAUGCAAGUAGAACGCUGAAGGCGGAGCUUGCUCUUCUGGAUGAGUUGCGAACGGGUGAGUAACGCGUAGGUAACCUGCCUGGUAGCGGGGGAUAACUAUUGGAAACGAUAGCUAAUACCGCAUGAUAACAGCUAUUGCAUGAUAUUUGUUUAAAAGGUGCAACUGCUCCACUACCAGAUGGACCUGCGUUGUAUUAGCUAGUUGGUGGGGUAACGGCUCACCAAGGCGACGAUACAUACCCGACCUGAGAGGGUGAUCGGCCACACUGGGACUGAGACACGGCCCAGACUCCUACGGGAGGCAGCAGUAGGGAAUCGUCGGCAAUGGACGGAAGUCUGACCGAGCAACGCCGCGUGAGGGAAGAAGGGUUUCGGAUCGUAAAGCUCUGUUGUAAGAGAAGAACGAGUGUGAGAGUGGAAAGUUCACACUGUGACGGUAUCUUACCAGAAAGGGACGGCUAACUACGUG